GAGCUGAACCCGCUGCUCUCCCUUGCUCGCAGGUGGCCAUCAAAAGGGUGCCGCGGGAUCGCAUCCGGCACUGGGGCGAGCUGGUGAGUGAGCGGGGCCAGCGGCAGAAGCCGGGCCGUGCCGGGCGGGGAUGAGCCGGGGCCCGGCAGGGUGGGAGCUGCCAGGAGCCCUGCAGGGAGAGCGGGCGUGGGCUGAGCGGGGCAUGCAGAGCAUCCCGGGCUGGCUGAGGGCUUCCCCAGCCCCGGCACGGCCUCAGCCCCACUGACGGCAUCGCGCUCCUCCCGCAGCCCGACGGCACCAGCGCACCCCUGGAGAUCGUGCUGCUGGCCAAGGUGGCCUCUGGCUGCGCUGGUGUCAUUCAGCUCCUGGAGUGGCUCCAGCUCCCCGACAGCUUCUUGCUGGUGCUGGAGCGCCCGGAGCGGUGCCAGGACCUGUCGGGUUUCCUGGCGGAGCGGAGGUUCCUGCCGGAGGAGGAGGCGCGGGGGCUGUUCCGCCAGGUGCUGGAGGCCGUGCGGCACUGCACCAGCUGCGGGGUCCUGCACAGGGACAUCAAGCCCCAGAACAUCCUGCUCGACCUGGCCACCGGGCAGCUGAAACUGAUCGACUUUGGCUGUGGCGCCUUCCUCCAAGACACAGCCUACACCCAGUUUGCAGGAACCCUGUCCUACAGCCCACCAGAGUGAAUCCACCACCGACGCUACCACGGCGAGGCAGCGACCAUCUGGUCCCUGGGCCUCCUGCUGUGCCACCUGGUCAUGGGCAAGCACCCGUUCAGGAGGGGCCAGGAGAUCAUCUGGGGGCGGAUCUUGUUCCCACGACGGCUCUCUCAAGAGUGCCAGGAUGUCAUUAAGAGGUGUUUGUCCAUGCAGCCCUUGGACAGGCCGUCCUUAGAAGAGCUUUUCCAUGAUCCUUGGGUGCAGGGUGUUCCUUUGCCCUAGAGGAUGGGAGAGAUCCACGUGCACAGUUGGAUCCAGGGGCCUGGCAGGGAAGGAGAAGGAGCCCCUGGAGAAGCUGCACCAGGUGGGGCUGCUGCUGCUGGAGACACCAAGGACAACCUCAAGGAUGACAAUCACUUCCUCGGCCUGGCCAGCUGAAGAUGAUGGACUUGGAUUCUGGCACCUUCUCCAAAGCCAGGCUCCACAGGGAAUCUGCAGAUAAGUCCACAUGCAGGGGGAUGCUCCCAGAUUUGGGCAUUGCUCAGCCUGGCCAGGAACCAAAGGUUCCCCCUUUGCUGGGGCGGAUGCAGCUGAUCCUUCAGUCGGCUGCCAGGCUGCUUUUGGCAGGGCUGGGGGCAUGGGCUGGGGUGGGUACGAAAUGGGAGUGGGCUCCUGGCCCUGCCAACAGCCCCCAGCACCCACCGUGCCCCGGGCUGGGGCUGGGGCUGGGGCAGCCAGCCCGACACAAACCAACCCCCAUGGUGGGAGCAGAGGUGGGACUCCAGAACGUGUGCAGGGGCUGCUUUGCUUUGCAGGCAAGGAAGGGCUUGGGCUGCUCCACUGCCCCUGAUUGCUUUGGGAUCAGCGUUAUUUUGGGGGCAGUGCAGGG
Vidua macroura (Pin-tailed whydah) is the source of this 1545-nucleotide long non-coding RNA. RefSeq lists it as uncharacterized. NCBI's taxonomy places the organism in Eukaryota, Metazoa, Chordata, Aves, Passeriformes, Viduidae. The record is from RefSeq and is a predicted model, not a curated record. The transcript is spliced from 4 exons.